GCACUAGCUUCCGUGCAUACCUUCCAUCCAGGGGAAAGGGGUCCAAAUAGAAUUGUUUGUUUUGGAGGGACGGCCGCCAACAAUUUCAGGUGGCCUUGAGUCCGUGGGUGUAUCCCUUCAGUGGCGCUGAUCAGCCAAAUCCUCAAUGCAUUUUCGAAGCGAGAAUUCCACUUCUCUCUGUUGUUGUCGAUCGUACGGAGACGCUCCAGAACCGCAAUUGCGGUUGAGCUCAAUCACCGCUUGAGUCUGAGUGUUGGACAUUUACGCUAGACCAUCGAGAAUGACCGGCAGCUUCUUCACUUCCAAUAAAGCUGCUCCCGUCGGUUGGAUUUUGCGAUAGAACAGGAAACUGCUAACACCAAACUGCAGCAUACCUGCUAUCAGAAGGCUGUUAAUGUAGAUGUCUUUCUCCUCCUCAACGGACAGUAUUGACAGGCACACCAUUCUCUGCUUCCUCCAAGGAUCUAGGCUAGGGUGUGCCCAGAAGCAAAUGUCCCGAGGGGCAAGCAGGCUCCCCACUGCCUGCUCUUCUCGUCGAGAAAAUCUUGUCGAUUGCAUCAAGAGACCAGCCAACCAAUUCCAUGGUUUGUUUUUUUGGAUGAAAAAGGAUGGAGGCUAGGAGAAGACAGCACAAGGACAGCACAUAGACUGAGUGGCGAGCAAGGAGAUUGAUGAGGUACAACGCAGAUUACAUGGUGAAGGGCCCCAGGCUGCCAGAUCAGAGGAGGAGGUUAUACCAGAGAUUGGGAGGCCGACCCCAAUGAAUGACAUGCUGAGCAAGGCAGCAACUGACCUGAAACAUAAGAUCAGGGCGAAAAUGAAGGCUGGGGGCAACGUGGGCCAGUGCUUCUGCAGCACUGAUUCUGCCCCCCCCCCCCCUUCCGAGCAUAGAUUACCCAGUCGCGCCGAGUCGCCAAUGCGAAAGGUGGAAACAAAGUGCGUGGCUUAACAUUCUAGUCGGACCCUUUAGUGCGCUGCACCACUUAAAAAUGAGCGGGAAAAGGAGAAGCAGUCCGCAGAGAAGAAAAUGACCACGACACGAGUGCUAUUUUCGAUGUAAAAUCACAAAACGAAACAAGCCCCCCAACAGUAGCAUUAUUAAUUCUAAUUCUAAUUCCUCUUCACUUAAACAUUUAAAAUGAAAAAAUAAAAAUGAAAGAAAAACGGACAUUACAUCAUAUUUCUAUAUGAAAAAGAAACAAAUUGAUCCAGACAGAGAGAGAGUCAGAUGAUGAUGGUGGUGAGAGUUCUGAAGAGGAGCAAGUUGAGUUGAAGGCACCAGAGAGGGAGAGUGAGAGGACACUGGAUUCAUUUAUUUUCAGAGCGAGGACACAGAGCAGGAAAGGGAUACAAAUGAAGAUCCUGAGAAUGAGGAAGACGAGACUGCAAUAGAAGUGGAGUGUGAGACACAGACAGAUGAUAGUUGCGCUUCAACAAGCACUGGACUAUCAGACAUCAGUUGAUGUGAAGAGGACCCGACAAUGCAGCCAGACCUAAAACAGUUUCCCAGGACCCUGACGGGGGACAGGAGAAGGAGCUUCAAGGCAGGCUGCCCUGGGUUGAAUGUGCCCCUCCAUCAAAACCCCUGGCCCCAGCCCGGCCCCCUCAGUGAAAUUGAUCC
Long non-coding RNA from Hippocampus zosterae (dwarf seahorse), 1621 nucleotides. RefSeq lists it as uncharacterized. The record is from RefSeq and is a predicted model, not a curated record. NCBI's taxonomy places the organism in Eukaryota, Metazoa, Chordata, Actinopteri, Syngnathiformes, Syngnathidae. The transcript has 3 exons.